RNAcentral lists this ribosomal RNA (492 nucleotides) under Bacillus cereus. RNAcentral describes it as "bacterial SSU rRNA". It matches the Rfam family "Bacterial small subunit ribosomal RNA", at positions 1 to 472 of the family's 1533-position model. Lineage: Bacteria; Bacillati; Bacillota; Bacilli; Caryophanales; Bacillaceae. The record is from RNAcentral.
UUUAUUGGAGAGUUUGAUCCUGGCUCAGGAUGAACGCUGGCGGCGUGCCUAAUACAUGCAAGUCGAGCGAACGGAUUAAGAGCUUGCUCUUAUGAAGUUAGCGGCGGACGGGUGAGUAACACGUGGGUAACCUGCCCAUAAGACUGGGAUAACUCCGGGAAACCGGGGCUAAUACCGGAUAAUAUUUUGAACUGCAUAGUUCGAAAUUGAAAGGCGGCUUCGGCUGUCACUUAUGGAUGGACCCGCGUCGCAUUAGCUAGUUGGUGAGGUAACGGCUCACCAAGGCAACGAUGCGUAGCCGACCUGAGAGGGUGAUCGGCCACACUGGGACUGAGACACGGCCCAGACUCCUACGGGAGGCAGCAGUAGGGAAUCUUCCGCAAUGGACGAAAGUCUGACGGAGCAACGCCGCGUGAGUGAUGAAGGCUUUCGGGUCGUAAAACUCUGUUGUUAGGGAAGAACAAGUGCUAGUUGAAUAAGCUGGCACCUUGA